This 1242-nucleotide long non-coding RNA is filed under the name Monodelphis domestica (gray short-tailed opossum). RNAcentral's name for it is "lncRNA (ENSMODG00000042015.1)". Lineage: Eukaryota; Metazoa; Chordata; Mammalia; Didelphimorphia; Didelphidae. The record is from RNAcentral.
AUGUCCCAAGAAAAAGUGGCUGCCAUGGAGUCCGGUGGUAUCCGACGUCCUUCGGCGAUUCUUGGAUUGUGUGCCGCUGUACUAUGGAGUCCGGUGGUGUCCGACGUCCUUCGGCGGUUCUUGGAUUGUGUGCCGCUGUACUAUGGAGUCCGGUGGUGUCCGACGUCCUUCGGCGGUUCUUGGAUUGUGUGCCGCUGUACUAUGGAGUCCGGUGGUAUCCGACGUCCUUCGGCGAUUCUUGGAUUGUGUGCCGCUGUACUAUGGAGUCCGGUGGUAUCCGACGUCCUUCGGCGGUUCUUGGAUUGUGUGCCGCUGUACUAUGGAGUCCGGUGGGAUCCGACGUCCUUCGGCGGUUCUUGGAUUGUGUGCCGCUGUACUAUGGAGUCCGGUGGGAUCCGACGUCCUUCAGCGGCUUUUGGAUUGUGUGCCGCUGUACUAUGGAGUCCGGUGGUAUCCGACGUCCUUCGGCGGUUCUUGGAUUGUGUGCCGCUGUACUAUGGAGUCCGGUGGUGUCCGACGUCCUUCGGCGGUUCUUGGAUUGUGUGCCGCUGUACUAUGGAGUCCGGUGGUAUCCGACGUCCUUCGGCGGUUCUUGGAUUGUGUGCCGCUGUACUAUGGAGUCCGGUGGGAUCCGACGUCCUUCGGCGGUUCUUGGAUUGUGUGCCGCUGUACUAUGGAGUCCGGUGGUAUCCGACGUCCUUCGGCGGUUCUUGGAUUGUGUGCCGCUGUACUAUGGAGUCCGGUGGUGUCCGACGUCCUUCAGCGGCUUUUGGAUUGUGUGCCGCUGUACUAUGGAGUCCGGUGGUGUCCGACGUCCUUCGGCGGUUCUUGGAUUGUGUGCCGCUGUACUAUGGAGUCCGGUGGUAUCCGACGUCCUUCGGCGGUUCUUGGAUUGUGUGCCGCUGUACUAUGGAGUCCGGUGGUAUCCGACGUCCUUCGGCGGUUCUUGGAUUGUGUGCCGCUGUACUAUGGAGUCCGGUGGUAUCCGACGUCCUUCGGCGGUUCUUGGAUUGUGUGCCGCUGUACUAUGGAGUCCGGUGGUGUCCGACGUCCUUCGGCGGUUCUUGGAUUGUGUGCCGCUGUGCUAUGGAGUCCGGUGGUAUCCGACGUCCUUCGGCAGUUCUUGGAUUGUGUGCCGCUGUACUAGGUGGAUGGGGCCCACAGAGGGAAAUAUGGCGACAACCUCGAAUUCUUGCCCUAAGUGCGUUUCCCAGCCCUGUUCAAAUGUCAUCAGCUCUUUGA